GGAAAUAUAACAUUAUUCAUUUAAUUCCACAAAAGGUGAGUAAGAUAUUAAAUGUAUAAGUUGUCUUUUUAAAAUGUUUAAGCUUUCUACAUAAUGUAAAUUGAACAUUUUAUUAUUAUUAUUAAUUUCGCGACCUAUUAUCUAAAUUGUGUGUUCAUGAAGGCCUGUAACGUACUGCAGCUUCCUGCAGGCAACGUGAAACAUUGCUGAGGGAGAACUUUAUUCACAACAAAAGGAUAAAGAUGAAGAUGCGGGACUUGAGCAGCUUGUGAUGGCUGUAAUUGUAAAGAAUGGAUCUUCUAGGAGUGGAAGCCCAAAGGAUGCUGGAAUUGUUAUUGAGGCCUUAAAGGUGUUCACAGGGCAUGCUUUAUCCUUGGAUCUAUGCAUUGAAUCUCCAGUAUCCCAGGCAUCUUUUCAGGUGUUUCAGAAACUUUUCUUGGAGCUGGAUUCUUCAAAGUUUAUGAACUGAUUACAGUACAGUAAGUCUAAACUGCUGUCUGAUUUUCUGGGUGUGAAUCAAUGUAACAGAACACAAACAUGGAACCUUGUGGACGAGAAAUGUGGACGGUUUUCUUUAAAGACUGUAAAAUACUUUUUGAAGUUUACACUGUUACAAAUACAUCAUUAAAAUGAGAUGCUUUCCUGUUCUUUUGACUGCAAUAAAAUAAGAAUUGAUUCAUCUUUGUCUGUCAUUCUGAAAUCAGAUAUAAUACUCAUUACUAAUAAAAAUAUUAAUGGAUGAUGUUAAAUUAAAAUAGUAUAAUUGAAUAGAAUUUAUUGUAUAGUGCUAGGUCUUUGUCCUGUAUACCCAAUAUUUUGUUUAAAUUUAAAUUAAUUUCUAAUUGCAAAUUGCAGAUUACCUUUUUGAAUGGGUUACUAUUAAGGAGUUUAUGUAGUGAUUCUAACACAAUUUUUAUUUGUGGAAUUUAAUUAAUGAUAUUGCUUGUAAUCUGUUGCCACACUUUUAUUGAGUAGAUAUGGCAUAAUAUUUUUUAUUGUAUAGUGCUAGAUCUUUGUCUAGUAUACACAAUAUUUUUGUUUAAAUUUUAAUAAAAAUUUUAAUUGCAAA
Molecule: non-coding RNA, 1069 nt
Organism: Misgurnus anguillicaudatus (oriental weatherfish)
Lineage: Eukaryota; Metazoa; Chordata; Actinopteri; Cypriniformes; Cobitidae
Source: RefSeq, a predicted model, not a curated record